UACGUAGGGUGCGAGCGUUAAUCGGAAUUACUGGGCGUAAAGCGUGCGCAGGCGGUUAUUUAAGUCAGGUGUGAAAGCCCUGGGCUUAACCUAGGAAUGGCGCUUGAGACUGGAUAGCUUGGAGUGUGGCAGAGGGAGGUGGAAUUCCACGUGUAGCAGUGAAAUGCGUAGAGAUGUGGAGGAACACCGAUGGCGAAGGCAGCCUCCUGGGCCAGCACUGACGCUCAUGCACGAAAGCGUGGGGAGCAAACGGG
Molecule: ribosomal RNA, 254 nt
Filed under: uncultured bacterium
Lineage: Bacteria
Description: partial 16S ribosomal RNA
Rfam family: Bacterial small subunit ribosomal RNA
Source: RNAcentral